AUGAACAGGGUGCUUAGCUCCUCUACAAGGAGAGAAAAAACAAAGCCUGGUGGAGCGGGGGCAGGCGAGGAGGCUCUCCACAACAGGAAUUCAGGGGCUGCAGAUGUCCUGGUUAAGAGAGACCAGCCACUCUUGAAAGGAUUGCCUUGCAUCAUGUUAGCAGUGUUGGAAUUCAGCUGCUGGAACCCUGAAUCAAAGGAGGAACACAGUGGCUUUGGAGCACCAUGCAGAACAUAUGCAGGCAGCUCCUUACUGGUGAAGAAAGCUUCCACAUACCAGUAAGACCUUCCGUCCAUCCAAAGCACCAUUCUGCAGUGGGAUGAUGGGAUUUGAUGGACAAGGAGGGGAGUCAUCUGUUCAACUUGAGAGAGUGUAAUCAGACCCAUAGGUAUCAUUGUAAAAAUCAGAAGCAUGCUGAACCAUAAAAGGUUUUGAUUGCAGCUGUGUUUUGUGUCUUCUCCAUACUCAUCCUAAUCACCUGACUAAACUUCAGAAUCACUUUUCCUAUAAGCAGAUGGAAAAUCCCAGCCCAUCGCAGCACUGGAGAACUCAGACGGGCUGGAAGAAGCAGGAAAAAUAAACUGGAGGAAGUGGGAAAAAAUAAAAUAUUU
RNAcentral lists this long non-coding RNA (611 nucleotides) under Crocodylus porosus (Australian saltwater crocodile). RNAcentral's name for it is "lncRNA (ENSCPRG00005010090.1)". Lineage: Eukaryota; Metazoa; Chordata; Crocodylia; Crocodylidae. The record is from RNAcentral.